Molecule: long non-coding RNA, 460 nt
Filed under: Nicotiana benthamiana
Lineage: Eukaryota; Viridiplantae; Streptophyta; Magnoliopsida; Solanales; Solanaceae
Description: long non-coding RNA (NBEN_LNC035995)
Source: RNAcentral
UUAAAGGCAAGGAAAGCUUUCAAGCUAAUAAGCUACUUAAGAAAGAAACUAAAGAAAGAAAAGAAUUGAAAAGACAGAAAGGAAAGAGUACAAAGAGAGAUACGGAAAGGUUGAAAAGCAGGGGAUAGGACAGUAAUAGGAUGGCAUUUCCCGUAUGAAUGGAUUAGGUAUAGGUGGAAGGAGAUGAAAGCUGGCGCAUAAGUAAUGUAAUGAUGGCUAAGGGCUUUCUUUUUACCGGUUUGAAAGGAAGAGUGUGCCAUGGUGAAAUGCAAGACAGAACAGAAAGCAAGGAAGGUGAAACGGUGUUGGCAAAAUCCAAUACAGAAUGUCCCGAGGGGGCAUUGUUGAAUGAAUUGACUUCGGUUUGAUUUCCUGAAACACAAGCGGAUCGGAACAAUAGAACUAAUAAUAGAAUAAACAGAGAAUAAAGAAAAUAUUUGAGAACUCGGGAAAGGAGAAU